This 490-nucleotide ribosomal RNA is filed under the name uncultured bacterium. RNAcentral's name for it is "partial 16S ribosomal RNA". It matches the Rfam family "Bacterial small subunit ribosomal RNA", at positions 30 to 507 of the family's 1533-position model. The record is from RNAcentral.
AUUGAACGCUGGCGGCAGGCCUAACACAUGCAAGUCGAAUGGUAACAGGAAACAGCUUGCUGUUUCGCUGACGAGUGGCGGACGGGUGAGGAAUGUCUGGGAAACUGCCUGAUGGAGGGGGAUAACUACUGGAAACGGUAGCUAAUACCGCAUAACGUCGCAAGACCAAAGAGGGGGACCUUCGGGCCUCUUGCCAUCAGAUGUGCCCAGAUGGGAUUAGCUAGUAGGUGGGGGAACGGCUCACCUAGGCGACGAUCCCUAGCUGGUCUGAGAGGAUGACCAGCCACACUGGAACUGAGACACGGUCCAGACUCCUACGGGAGGCAGCAGUGGGGAAUAUUGCACAAUGGGCGCAAGCCUGAUGCAGCCAUGCCGCGUGUAUGAAGAAGGCCUUCGGGUUGUAAAGUACUUUCAGCGGGGAGGAAGGGAGUAAAGUUAAUACCUUUGCUCAUUGACGUUACCCGCAGAAGAAGCACCGGCUAACUCCGUG